Molecule: long non-coding RNA, 386 nt
Organism: Sphaerodactylus townsendi
Lineage: Eukaryota; Metazoa; Chordata; Lepidosauria; Squamata; Sphaerodactylidae
Exons: 2
Source: RefSeq, a predicted model, not a curated record
UGUAAGUGUAGACAGGUCAUGACCAGAGAAAGGUGCAACUCAUUCACUUCAGUCUAUCUUCAAGGUCGUUUCCUUAACAUCGCACAAAGUGAGCGUUGUUGUCGGUACUGUCCCUACACUAUGGACUCAGUUCCUCAUAUUCUGCUUUACUGUUUGAGGUAUAAUGAUAUUAGAACUGACCUGGGAGCUUUAUUACCUUCAUACUUUAAGUUUUUCUCAGACAAACUAAAAAUGUCUAAGCUAUUGAACAGCUCUAAUGUAGAAAUUUCGGAAGCAGUUGCUACAUUUUUAAUCCGUGUCCUACAUGAUGUGUAACAACAAUCCUGUUAUUGUACCUGGAAUGUUCGGUACUUUCGGUUUUAUGCCUAAUAAAGGUUUUUGGAUUG